Molecule: ribosomal RNA, 441 nt
Filed under: uncultured bacterium
Lineage: Bacteria
Description: partial 16S ribosomal RNA
Rfam family: Bacterial small subunit ribosomal RNA
Source: RNAcentral
CCUACGGGAGGCAGCAGUGGGGAAUAUUGCACAAUGGGGGAAACCCUGAUGCAGCAACGCCGCGUGGGUGAAGGAGCGUUUCGGCGCGUAAAGCCCUGUCAGCGGGGAAGAAGAAAGACGGUACCCGACCAAGAAGCCCCGGCUAACUACGUGCCAGCAGCCGCGGUAAUACGUAGGGGGCGAGCGUUAUCCGGAAUUACUGGGUGUAAAGGGAGCGUAGACGGCGAGGUAAGCCUGAAGUGGAAGCCCGCGGCCCAACCGCGGAACUGCUUUGGGAACUGUUUUGCUGGAGUAUGGGAGGGGUAAGCGGAAUUCCUGGUGUAGCGGUGAAAUGCUUAGAGAUCAUACAGAACACCGAUUGCGAAGGCAGCUUACCAAGCUACUUCUGACGUUGAGGCACGAAAGCGUGGGGAGCAAACAGGAUUAGAUACCCUUGUAGUC